AGAGUUUGAUCCUGGCUCAGAACGAACGCUGGCGGCAUGCCUAAUACAUGCAAGUCGAACGAGAUCUUCGGAUCUAGUGGCGCACGGGUGCGUAACGCGUGGGAAUCUGCCCUUGGGUUCGGAAUAACUUCUGGAAACGGAAGCUAAUACCGGAUGAUGACGUAAGUCCAAAGAUUUAUCGCCCAAGGAUGAGCCCGCGUAGGAUUAGCUAGUUGGUGAGGUAAUGGCUCACCAAGGCGACGAUCCGUAACUGGUCUGAGAGGAUGAUCAGUCACACUGGAACUGAGACACGGUCCAGACUCCUACGGGAGGCAGCAGUGGGGAAUAUUGGACAAUGGGCGAAAGCCUGAUCCAGCCAUGCCGCGUGUGUGAAGAAGGUCUUCGGAUUGUAAAGCACUUUAAGUUGGGAGGAAGGGUAGUAACCUAAUACGUUGCUGCUUUGACGUUACCGACAGAAUAAGCACCGGCUAACUUCGUGCCAGCAGCCGCGGUAAUACGAAGGGUGCAAGCGUUAAUCGGAAUUACUGGGCGUAAAGCGCGCGUAGGUGGUUCAGCAAGUUGGAUGUGAAAGCCCUGGGCUCAACCUGGGAACUGCAUCCAAAACUACUGAGCUAGAGUACGGUAGAGGGUAGUGGAAUUUCCUGUGUAGCGGUGAAAUGCGUAGAUAUAGGAAGGAACACCAGUGGCGAAGGCGACUACCUGGACUGAUACUGACACUGAGGUGCGAAAGCGUGGGGAGCAAACAGGAUUAGAUACCCUGGUAGUCC
Molecule: ribosomal RNA, 767 nt
Filed under: uncultured bacterium
Lineage: Bacteria
Description: bacterial SSU rRNA
Rfam family: Bacterial small subunit ribosomal RNA
Source: RNAcentral